Long non-coding RNA from Agrilus planipennis (emerald ash borer), 244 nucleotides. RefSeq lists it as uncharacterized. Lineage: Eukaryota; Metazoa; Arthropoda; Insecta; Coleoptera; Buprestidae. The transcript is spliced from 2 exons. The record is from RefSeq and is a predicted model, not a curated record.
UGUAGAUAUAUUUUAACAUGUUAAGUACCAGAACGUGAAAAUGGUGCCACAUGUGUCAUCUAGAGAGAUAUUGUUUGCGAUUUUGUUGAUUUGUAUUAACGAAUCAUGUGGGUACAAUCUGACCGUUAGAACACAAAGCGGAUAUGUGAGGGGUUUCAUGACAAGAAGUUCAUCAAAUUCCAGUCUUUUUUUCUAUGGAUUUAGGUCAGUCCCCUACGCAAAGGCACCAUUAGGAAAUCUUAGA